This 715-nucleotide long non-coding RNA is filed under the name Mus musculus (house mouse). Its description in RNAcentral is "predicted gene 45676". Lineage: Eukaryota; Metazoa; Chordata; Mammalia; Rodentia; Muridae. The record is from RNAcentral.
UACGCAGCACCCCAUCCAGGGCCUCUGCAUCAGUGCCUGGCUCCAAGUUUCUGCCCUGUGUGAGUUCCUGUCCAGACUUCCUUUGGCGAUGAAGAGUAAUGUGGAAGUGUAAGCUGAAUAAACCUUUUUCUCCACAACUUGCUUCUUGGUAAUAAUGUUUUGUGCAGGAAUACAAACCCUGACCAAGGCAGUAAUCCAACAACAUCCAUCUAUGUGCUGGCGAGGCUGAGAUUAUAGCAGUGGCUCAAACUGUGAGGCUGGACACCUUGGCAGUCCUGAUCUGACUCCAAAAGCACGGAAAAUUCCUGGAGAGAGCAGUGGGUCUUCAGUCCAUAGUCAAAGGUGGAAGACCUGGGUUCUGUCCGAUGUCAGCAGCAGAAACAGCGGGGAUAGAAAUCCCUAUCGACAGGACGUGAAGGCCUCCUGAGUUGUUGACAUCACUGUGCCUCCGGGUCAAGUUUUGGUCACUUGGCCAGACUAUGUUGACAUCUCCCUUAUUUGAACUGGGCACAGUGCUACCACCAUGACUGUCACCCGCAGCACCAUGCUACCGAGAGGGAUGUGACUCGAUGUCAGAGAAGGGACACAGGGAGAAUUGAACACCAAGAGUGUGUAAAUAACCAGGAGAAAGUCACCUCCAACUGAGCGGGGAUUGUUCUCUGGCAGUGGAACAGGGAGAGAAGGCUCCACCCUGGCAACUUGAGCUGAUUGCUUG